This 1162-nucleotide long non-coding RNA is filed under the name Pan troglodytes (chimpanzee). Its description in RNAcentral is "long non-coding RNA NONPTRT015096". Lineage: Eukaryota; Metazoa; Chordata; Mammalia; Primates; Hominidae. The record is from RNAcentral.
CCCUUCCAGCCCCCACUCCCCUCAGGAACCCAAGGUUCCAGCCCUCCUCCCAAAUCCCAGCCACCCCUCCCCCACCAGUUUCUCCCCUCUAGGGGAUGGAGGCUGAGAGACCCCAGGAAGAAGAGGAUGGUGAGCAGGGCCCCCCUCAGGAUGAGGAAGGCUGGCCCCCUCCAAACUCCACCACUCGGCCUUGGCGAUCUGCUCCUCCGUCCCCUCCUCCUCCAGGGACCCGCCACACAGCCAGCCCUGGGACCCCGCUCGGCCUCCCUGCUCUCCCUGCAGACUGAACUCCUUCUGGACCUGGUGGCUGAAGCCCAGUCCCGCCGCCUGGAGGAGCAGAGGGCCACCUUCUACACCCCCCAAAACCCCUCAAGCCUAGCCCCUGCCCCACUCCGUCCUCUCGAGGACAGAGAACAGCUUUACAGCACUAUCCUUAGUCACCAGUGCCAGCGGAUGGAAGCCCAGCGGUCAGAGCCUCCCCUCCCCCCAGGGGGGCAAGAGCUCCUGGAGUUGCUGCUGAGAGUUCAGGGUGGGGGUCGAAUGGAGGAGCAAAGGUCCCGGCCCCCCACACACACCUGCUGAGACUUGAGCCCCAACCAGCCCUUCCUUGCCACUGGUCUCAAAGCUGGGCAGCCCAUUGCAUGCCCUCAACUCUUGCUUGGCAGGGGUACCAGAGACUGAAGGACACGGCACAAAUCUCAAUAUUCAUCUCCCACAUCACCUUCCCUGGGAACUGGACGGGGUGAAAGUCCUCAAACUCUGGGAACAGGCGAGGUGGAACGGGGAUUUAACUCCCCGCCCACAGGUCCAUGGGAGCUUGAGGCAGUAAGGGGGAUCCCAGGCACCCAUCUCAAGGAGUGGCUGGGAGUCUUUUCCCUAACUUGUGGGGACACCACCAAUUGUCAAGCUACUAGGCACUAGGGUCUGAGGGCUCAGGCCUCCACCUGAGAGGUUAUAACCUGAGAGACAGCUCUACCCUUCCUCCCAGUAAGAAGAGAAGGUGGGUGGGCACCUGAGAGAUUAAGACUAUUCUCCCAGUCCCACUACCAGCACCCCCGAUCCCUGAGACUGAGGGGUUUACGGGCUGUGAAUGGACCUUCAGCCCUGCCCACCCUCCCUCCCCACUGCUGCUGAGUCUGUCUGAUGUUUUGGUUGUAUGAAU